AAUGUUUGUACCUAGUAUUAGAAAAAUAAAUAAUGACUAUUCCUGCAUAUAAAGAAAAUAACUAAAAUUCCAAAAAAAAAUGAAAAAAAUCAAACAAAAUAUAUUAACAUUAAUAUCAAAUCUACUUUCUCAACAUAUAUUUGGGUUUUAAUUAAUGUGAAUUGAUGACUUAAGGAAACUGAAAGCCACCAAUACCUUGUACAGGAUUACCUUGUUGUGGAUUUAUAGCAAUCCAUAACAAGGAAAGUGUAAUUGCAAUAAGUCCUGACCAAACAAACACAAUUGUUGGUGUUUUUCUUCUUCUGCCCAUUAAUCCUUUAGCAAAAGGAUAUAAAUGAGCUAAAACCCAAAAAGCAAAGAAAGCUCCACCUAUAAAUUUUCCCCAUUCUGGAACUGUAGCAAACACUGCCCUGGAAAAUGCAAUCACAAUAGCAAUAAUGUUAAUCAUGCCAAUAACUAUAGGUGGGAUCAUCAAUGAAGUCCAUUUAACCAAGUAUAAAUCGGCGUAGAUGUCGUCGACGUACCAAUAACUAUAGGUGGGAUCAUCAAUGCAGUCCAUUUAACCAAGUAUAAAUCGGCGUAGAUGUCGUCCACGUCUUCUCCAGCAGAUUUAGAAGUCAGUGUGAAUG
This 629-nucleotide long non-coding RNA is filed under the name Nicotiana benthamiana. Its description in RNAcentral is "long non-coding RNA (NBEN_LNC003836)". Lineage: Eukaryota; Viridiplantae; Streptophyta; Magnoliopsida; Solanales; Solanaceae. The record is from RNAcentral.